RNAcentral lists this small RNA (132 nucleotides) under Escherichia coli. RNAcentral describes it as "RtT sRNA". It matches the Rfam family "RtT RNA". From Rfam's summary of the family: This family represents a bacterial cis-regulatory element known as RtT RNA. The exact function of RtT is unknown although it is thought that it may be involved in changing the cellular response in relation to amino acid starvation. Lineage: Bacteria; Pseudomonadati; Pseudomonadota; Gammaproteobacteria; Enterobacterales; Enterobacteriaceae. The record is from RNAcentral.
AUUCUGCCCAUGCGGGGAAGGAUGAGAAGCUUCGACCAAGGUUCGACUCGAGUGCCAGCGAGAGAGCGUUGCCGCAGGCAACGACCCGUAGGGCGAAGCGCGCAGCGCUGAGGAAUCCUUCCCCCACCACCA